UACAUCUAUAUAUGAAACUAUUCAAUAUCAACGGUUAGUCCAAGUCCUUGCAACGCCUUCAAAAAGUGGGACGUACGCACAUGAAUAUUCUCGAUCCCAACCAGUAAAGGCCACGUAUAUAUCAUGGAUUUUCUAUCGGUAGUUUUUUUUUUACCCACAUAAUACCCUUGCAAGUUGGUUCUGGGAAUUGUGUUUGUCGUCGUCAUUUGCAUCAAUGGAGUAUAGAACGAGGUUUGUGAAAAAAGUUGAAGGAGGAUUUUCUUUCUUUCUUUCUUUUAAUCUCAACUAGCACAGUGGCCGUGCGUUGCCACGGCCUCUUAAACAUGUGCACGCGAAAAUUCAUGUUUGGAUAGAGCCGGUGAGCCCUGAACCCCUUUGCUCAUCUCUUGCACGGGAAUCUAAUCCGGCGCCGACGCGUAUCAAGAGCGGUCACCGCAGGGAGCUGUUGCGCGCACAGUUAAGUCGGUGGUGGCGGCCUGGGAAGGCAGCCCCGUGGGAAUAGG
RNAcentral lists this long non-coding RNA (503 nucleotides) under Brachypodium distachyon (stiff brome). RNAcentral describes it as "long non-coding RNA (BDIS_LNC000019)". The record is from RNAcentral. Lineage: Eukaryota; Viridiplantae; Streptophyta; Magnoliopsida; Poales; Poaceae.